RNAcentral lists this ribosomal RNA (500 nucleotides) under uncultured bacterium. RNAcentral's name for it is "partial 16S ribosomal RNA". It matches the Rfam family "Bacterial small subunit ribosomal RNA", at positions 30 to 523 of the family's 1533-position model. The record is from RNAcentral.
AUUGAACGCUGGCGGCAUGCCUUACACAUGCAAGUCGAACGGCAGCACGGGAGCAAUCCUGGUGGCGAGUGGCGAACGGGUGAGUAAAGUAUCGGAACGUGCCCAGUCGUGGGGGAUAACGUAGCGAAAGUUACGCUAAUACCGCAUACGAUCUAUGGAUGAAAGCGGGGGAUCGCAAGACCUCGCGCGCUUGGAGCGGCCGAUAUCAGAUUAGGUAGUUGGUGGGGUAAAGGCUCACCAAGCCGACGAUCUGUAGCUGGUCUGAGAGGACGACCAGCCACACUGGGACUGAGACACGGCCCAGACUCCUACGGGAGGCAGCAGUGGGGAAUUUUGGACAAUGGGCGAAAGCCUGAUCCAGCCAUGCCGCGUGCAGGAUGAAGGCCUUCGGGUUGUAAACUGCUUUUGUACGGAACGAAAAGGUUUGGGCUAAUAAGCUGAGCUCAUGACGGUACCGUAAGAGUAAGCACCGGCUAACUACGUGCCAGCCGCCGCAGUAA